AUACCUUGGGUGGGGUAGUGGGGGAGGGACUAGUACCAGUAUAUUUUGCAAGGUACGUGAACGGGACUCCCACACCUCCUCUGCAUCUGUGAAAAGUGCCUGCUUGCAUUGAGUUGCGGUUGACAAAGCAGUUGGGAAACAAGGUCCUGCAACCAUGGCUGUCCAAGGUCUCAUCGUCCUUGGCAUUUUAGCCAUCGCCGCCAUCGUUAUUGUUUACGUUGUCGGUCAGGAGAAGAAGAAAAUACACCUGAAGCGGGAAAGGAAGGAUCCUUUCACAGGUACCCAUUUUACAGAGGAGAGAUAUGUGAAGGAAAUGAGAUUGAUGCAACGAAGAUAAUCAAGACUUUCAUGAUUUUGCAGAGAAAGAAAAAAAAGUACAAGUUAUAAAGAAUUUCAAAAGCUGCUUUAAUGUGCUUCCCAACAUGGAAGUGCAGUCAACUCAUGCAAUUGCCUUGAUUGGCUACCUGUCUUUGAUAUAUAGAUAUGACAUUUUUGUGUGUCUGCAUCUGUCCUGCCAGUAAAAUCACAGAAGCCUGGCUACGUACUGUGCAUAGUAAAGGAACCAUUUCAAAUAUGCUUUCAAAAUGUGUUGUCGUGUGUGUAAAUGCGCCUAUAUGUUGCAGUAUUACAUGAGGUCACUAGAUGGCAGUCACCUCACAACCUCUGAGGAUGCCUGCCAUAGAUGUGGGUUUAUUUAU
Anolis carolinensis (green anole) is the source of this 698-nucleotide long non-coding RNA. RefSeq lists it as uncharacterized. The record is from RefSeq and is a predicted model, not a curated record. NCBI's taxonomy places the organism in Eukaryota, Metazoa, Chordata, Lepidosauria, Squamata, Anolidae. The transcript is spliced from 3 exons.